Molecule: non-coding RNA, 76 nt
Organism: Cordylochernes scorpioides
Lineage: Eukaryota; Metazoa; Arthropoda; Arachnida; Pseudoscorpiones; Chernetidae
Source: the annotation of a GenBank genome assembly
UGUUCAAUGCGGGGAUCGAACCCGGGUCGUAGUGGUCGAAAACCAAACGGUUUAACCAGCCUUUAACUAACAGAUC